GACGAACGCUGGCGGCGUGCUUAACACAUGCAAGUCGAACGGAAAGGCCCUGCUUUUGUGGGGUGCUCGAGUGGCGAACGGGUGAGUAACACGUGAGUAACCUGCCCUUGACUUUGGGAUAACUUCAGGAAGCUGGGCUAAUACCGGAUAGGAACCCCCUCUUCCUGGUGGGGGGUGGGAAGUUUCGGCGGUUGGGGAUGGACUCGCGGCUUAUCAGCUUGUUGGUGGGGGAGUGGCUUACCAAGGCUUUGACGGGUAGCCGGCCUGAGAGGGUGACCGGCCACAUUGGGACUGAGAUACGGCCCAGACUCCUACGGGAGGCAGCAGUGGGGAAUAUUGCACAAUGGGCGGAAGCCUGAUGCAGCAACGCCGCGUGCGGGAUGACGGCCUUCGGGUUGUAAACCGCUUUCGCCUGUGACGAAGCGUGAGUGACGGUAAUGGGUAAAGAAGCACCGGCUAACUACGU
RNAcentral lists this ribosomal RNA (466 nucleotides) under uncultured bacterium. RNAcentral's name for it is "partial 16S ribosomal RNA". It matches the Rfam family "Bacterial small subunit ribosomal RNA", at positions 28 to 506 of the family's 1533-position model. The record is from RNAcentral.